This 635-nucleotide long non-coding RNA is filed under the name Homo sapiens (human). RNAcentral describes it as "HSALNT0397778". The record is from RNAcentral. Lineage: Eukaryota; Metazoa; Chordata; Mammalia; Primates; Hominidae.
GAGUCGGCCUCGCCAGUGCGCAUGCGCGAGGCCCAAGCCGCCGCUUGGGUCAAAGUGAAAGCCACCGUUGCCCGGGGAUGGGUCCCUGACACUUGGCGAAGUAGGAGCCCUGUGUGAUCGUGCGUCUGAGUCUGGGCUGAGACCAGUCCUGGCCAGGGCAGUUACCAGGACGGUCUCCGGAGGCCGGGAUUCGCGGAGGGUCCACCAGCAGGAAGAAACCCCAAGAGGAAGAAACCUCAGACAGAUCGCCGGCGAGGCAGCGCGGGAUCCCAGCCUCAGGCGUGCGCGGACGGUGUGCGGCGCACACAACCAAGCUUAGGAGCCGACUGUUAAGAUGCCCCAGUGACACGGACAAGUUUCUCCUCUGCAACCCAAUGAGAGCUGCUGACCACGAGAGCAUCGCGGGACCGCCAAAGGAUUCUGGAAAAUGUGGUCCCGGGUGGCCAGUGUGCGCUGACCUUCACCUGAAGGUACGGCUUGAAGGAAACUUCUGGAGGGUGGGGUGGUGUUGAAGAGAAGGCACAAUUGUCACCAUUUUGUUCAACAUGGGCGUUUUCUUUGUGCAUUGAUUUGCAUUUUUAAAGGGCAAAGUUAGAGCAGCAAGGACCAGAUGGGGGCCAGGCACUUCCCCUGGG